Molecule: long non-coding RNA, 574 nt
Filed under: Cotesia glomerata
Lineage: Eukaryota; Metazoa; Arthropoda; Insecta; Hymenoptera; Braconidae
Description: uncharacterized LOC123258912
Source: RNAcentral
CCCUUCAGGACAUGGGUUAUGAGAUUUUUUCUCAUGCGCAACUUCAAUCUCAAAUAUUUUUUAAAUUUCAAAUGGAAAAGCUACUUGAAAUUUUUUGUAUCUUCCUAUAAUUUAGUUUUCUAGACACACAUACAAUAAAAAAAUUUUUUUUUGAUUAAAAAUAAUAAAAAAAUAAUUUUUUUUAGAGGACAUGAGAUUUUUUCUCAUGGCCAGAGUAUUAAAAGGUGGGAGAUUUUAGCUUUCGUUUCUUAUUCGGCCGAGUUCGGCUCAUUUCGCAGUCCGCGUCCGCCAUAUUUAUUUACAUCAUACUUAACCGCCAAAAUAAUAGUGUAAUAUUGUGCUGUGUUUACCUACAUAAAUAUGUAAAAUUUAUAAUUUAAUAUUUAAUAUUUUUCAAAUAAAUAAUAUUAAGAGGUUUAAUAAACUCUAAGAACAUUAAAAAUUAAAAAUAAAUAACGUUUUCGUAAGAAAACUGAAUUAUAAUGUUCUAUGCGCAUGCGCAGAAGCCAUGAGAUUUUUUCUCAUGGCCAGAGUAAAUAAGGUGAGUCAAAACACCCAUGUCCUGAAGGGUUAA